AGAUGAUUGUAUAAGUACUGCAGUUCUGUAAAGUUUAAGUUGCAGUGUAUAUAAUGCAAAGCUAACCAUGUAGGUGACCUGUUAGCUAAGCGAGGUUUAUGGUCCUUAAUUGCAACAAAACCACACUGCCAUAUAAAUUUUGUUUGUAUUGACUGUAGUGUGUGGAAAAAGAAUAUUUUCUUUUCUACCUUAAUUGCAGGUGACUCUGAAAGAGGAGUUGUGGAAAACAUCUUUAUCCAGCCAGGUCGAUAUAUUUUUUUCUAUCAGUUAAUCGCGAAGGCUCCUGUCCAUAAAUUUAUGCAUUAGUUACCCUCCUGAUCACCAUUCACCAAGCUGCACAUCUGACAUUACACUCACAAUAUUUCUUUAUAUGAAUCCUGGUACAUGAGGUCCACCUCAUCCACCCACUUAUGGGUUUAGUGACAGAAAAGGUUAUAAAUAGAUUUGCUACCAUUAAUUGCACGCAAACAAAUGCACAAUCAAGGGCACCUCAGGAUCGUCAGUAAAUGCAUACUAAUCAGAUUUUUUUUUUUCUUUCUUUCUUUCUUAUGGUAGAUGUGUUCGACAAUAUAUUUAUUUGGGAUAUCUGAAACUGAAGCUCUUCUAUCUAAAUGGUUAUGGAGGUACGGGAGAGAGCAUGAGGCCCUUUGGCGAAGGGUAAUUGAUGCCAAAUAUGGGAAGUGUGACAAUGGUGGGAUGCCCUCAAAGGUGACAUGUCCAUAUGGGUGUAGUUUAUGGAGAGGGAUUCAAGCGAGCCAAGAGGAAUUCAUAGAAGGUAUAACAAAAUUAGCCAAAAGGGGUGACAAGAUUCGCUUUUGGCAUAACAUAUGGUUGGGGGAAAUUUCUUUCUUUAGGAGAUUUCCUAGGAUUUAUAGGUUUGCCGCAAUGAAGGAGGGGACGGUCUUGGGGCACAAAAGAGAUGAAGGGGGAUGGAAUCUUCACUUAAGGAGGACUAUGUUCCGAGAAGGUGAACAAUCUCAACUUGACCACCUCACGGCGUUACUUGAAAACGUGGACUUAGUGGAUGAAGAAGAUGAAUGGGAAUGGAAGUGGAAGAAAAGUAAGACUUUCACCAUCAAAUCAUGUUACAAGUACUUGGUUUCUCGGGCUAUUCCUAGAGGUGUGGAGACUAUGAAUUUCCCUUACAAGUUUACUUGGGAGCCACCUAUCCCAACGAAUGUUAAAUUUUUCGUUUGGAGUCUUCAUUGGAAGAAAAUCCUCACUAUUGAUAAGUUACAAAGUAGAGGAUUCUUGCUGGCGAAUAGGUGUGUCCUAUGUAAAAGGGAGGAAGAGUCUAUGGAGCACUUGUUGUUCAAAUGCGCUUAUGCUCAACAAGUAUGGAUGGACUUGAUUGAUAUGUGUGGAGCAGCUAGAAGCUGUUGUACUAGCUGAAAAUCUCUGAAACAGUGUUUGGAUCAAUGGCCAUCAUUGAAUGGAGGUGUACUAGCAGGGAAGAUAUGGAACCUGAUACCAUAUGCAGUGGUCUAGUGCCUCUGGACAGGGAGAAAUGAAGCAAUCUUCAGGGAGUGUUCAACAACAACAACGAAACUUGUCUUAAGAAUCAAAGCUGUUGUCUGGACUUGGCUGCACAUGGACAAGAGAGCUAUGGAAUGGAGGGAGAGAACUUCAUUUUCUGAACUGGUUGUGAACUGGCAAUUUUUCAUGGCUGAAGGGGUAUGACUCACUCAGAUGCAAAAUCAGUUCCCCAAGCUUAGAACGGAACAUGGUAUCACCCAGGCCAGUGGGGACAGGGGGCCUUUGGCUCAGGCAGAAACUGCAGGUGUCUUCAUGACUGUACAGGCGAAGCUGAAACAAUUGUUAUGCAGGGCUGGGCAAUAGCAAUUGGAAGGGGAUUGCGAACAGUGCAAGGUUGUUGCAAUCUGUUCGUAAGCUACAGAGGAGGCAGUUUUGUUGGGUAAUGUUUGCGAGGAAGGGCUGGAAAAUGCUGGAGCUUGCGCAACAGUUUCUGUAAGGCGUAUUUCCUUCUUAUCUUCAUUUCUGUACUUGCGAAUUUUCUGUUUGUAAUGUGCUCAACAGUAGUGAUUAUGUUUGUGUAAAAGCGGAUAUGUCCUCUUGGAAAAAACUGACGAUGCACGAAGGUGUAGGCUGAUCAGAUUUGUAAGGUGUUGUUUGCGUUUUAGUAAAAUUAUAAACUUUUAUCAAAAAAAAAAAAAACUGAACAUUUUUGUACUGACAUAUCUUCAUUUUCUUUCUGUGUAUAAUUUUCAAGCCACAACUUGGCAACUUAAACGAACAAAUGUCGUGACUGCAGGACAUGAAAAUCUCUGCUUAAAGUCAUCAACUUUGUACUCCCUGUCUUCAUCAAAGAAGGUUUGUCUCUGACUUUCUGUCAUGCUGCUUGGUGGUGUUCUGUCAAAAUAAUGAACUCUGCUUAUUUUUCCUAUUUCGUAGUAGAUAUCUUAAACUAAAAUGAAGUCUUACUCUUUUAAUUUUGAAUUUAAGUAUCCUCCAAAACUUCUUGAGAUUGUUGUACCAGAAGAACUUUUCGUGAACAUUGCUCUGUCACUGAGGCAUGACAUUUGAUCAGGCCUUUACAACCUUCAGAGAAGGGGCUUCUGGGAAGGACUUUAUGAAGUUCCUCAAGGUACCAUAUAUUAAAGAGUUGGGUCUUGAUUGUUUUGGUCCUUGGACAAUGAUCACGAAAAGCCAUUCAUGUUUGUGCAGUUGAUCGCAAUUAUGUGGGUACUCUCUGUUGUUGGUAGUCAGUUUUAACUUCCUGACAUUUUUUUACAUAGGUCAGUGCCAGAGUUUCCUCUAUUGUGUUUUCUGAUUUCAUACGAACAGUUGUUCAUUACUUCAUUUUAAUGCAGUAUAACAUUGAUUUGUUUUACACUAGCAAUGCAUGCAUUAUAUCAUUUCUUUGACCAAAUGACGUUACUUAGGUUUAUUUUCUACAGUAGUUAAAGAUGCUAUAUUAUUUUUGAAUCUAUUUACGAAGUAAUAAUGUUAGUAGAAGUCUCUAUCUUUAGGAGUAUUAUUGUAUGGUUCUUAUCCCCAAAGCUUAUAGUGUGAAUGUGUUUUUAAGGCAAGCACUUUGUUAAGAUACCAAGGGAACCUUAUUUUAAUAUGAUGAAUAUUUUUUUGGGUUAACUCCUUUUGUUUAUACUUUGUUCUCUGUUCGUUCUUCUUGCAUUCUUAACCAAAAACCUCUGAGAAGGUGCUCUUCUUUAAAUUUUAACAAAGAAAAUCUCACUUUUUCGAAUCUUCACUAAUUAUAUGGUUUUGUUUCUUCCCAGGGAGAAAAAGAUCCGACAUUUUUGCUCCCUCGAUUGCCAAUAGAUGAUUUUGAAAUUCUUGC
This 3319-nucleotide long non-coding RNA is filed under the name Aquilegia coerulea. RNAcentral describes it as "long non-coding RNA (ACOE_LNC002062)". Lineage: Eukaryota; Viridiplantae; Streptophyta; Magnoliopsida; Ranunculales; Ranunculaceae. The record is from RNAcentral.